UCUUCCCUCUAGCUUCAGGCUUAAUACAUGCAAGUCGAGGGGCAGCAGCACUGUAGCAAUACAGUUUCUGGCGACCGACAAACGAGUGCGGAACACGUACGCAACUUACCCUUUACUGGGGGAUACCCCAGGGAAACCCGGAUUAAUACCCCGAACUAUAACGGAAUGGCAGCACUUUAUUAUUUAAGCUCCGUCGGGUCGGAAUCGCCGUGCGGCUGCUUAGGGAGUUGGUUGAGGUAAAGGCUCACCAAGCCUACGAUCAGUAACUGGUGUGAGAGCACGACCAGUCACAGGGGGACUGGGACACGUGCGCGACUCAUACGGGAGGCAGCAGUAAGGAAUAUUGCGGAAUGGAGGCAACUCUGACCCAGCCAUGCCGCGUGGAGGAUGAAGGCGCUCUGGGUUGUAAACUUCUUUUAUAGGGGACGAAACCUGUGUAUUGUUGCGCAGUUGACGGUACUCUAGGAAUAAGCACCGGCUAACUCCGUG
This 489-nucleotide ribosomal RNA is filed under the name uncultured bacterium. Its description in RNAcentral is "partial 16S ribosomal RNA". It matches the Rfam family "Bacterial small subunit ribosomal RNA", at positions 36 to 507 of the family's 1533-position model. The record is from RNAcentral.